AUCUUGGUUACGGUAGGUCUGGGGUU
Molecule: small RNA, 26 nt
Filed under: Bombyx mori (domestic silkworm)
Lineage: Eukaryota; Metazoa; Arthropoda; Insecta; Lepidoptera; Bombycidae
Description: ovarian small RNA-12543
Source: RNAcentral